AAAGUAUUAACAGUAGACUCUCAAGACAAAAGGACCCCAUUCAACAACAGGAGAAAAAAAACACACACACACACACACACACUGUACCCGGAUGACAAGAACCAUAUAUAAUUCAAGGCAGCAAUAUACAAGAGAGAUAGAGCGACUUCCAUAUCCUCUCCAAACACUCACUGCCGACAGCCAAAUUUAGCCAACAUUCAAGAGAUAUCACCAUACCAUAUAAUUUCAUCGCCACAAGACAACGGACCACAGCAGCAAAUAUAUUGAAAUUCCACAACACAAACCACUCAGCAUAGCGUGAUCAACAGGAAACUUAAUUCCCAAGCAGAAACUGUCUACAAUGUGUUGUCUGAAUUUGGUAGCUGUAGCUCAGCUGGAAUGCUUGGUACAUUUAUCUCACCUUGCAAUACAGCACAAGAUCCACCCAUCAAGGAAAGAAAUUGCGAGGCACAACAAGGAACUUGAGAAUUAACCAGCAUAAUCGAUCCCAACAGCUACCUCUUCGCAGAGAUAACACUGCCAGCACCUCCAAAGCUCAAAAGAACAACUUCAAAAACACAGCUGCAGCAGCUACACCAGAUCAAGCCAUGAAACUCGAGUAAAAGGCAAGAACACACAAAAUCGACUACGAACUGAUAGCAUCAAUAGCAAAAGAAUUAAAGCAUCAUAACGACAAGACUCCUCUGAAACCUCAUUGAUCAGGCCACCCAUCAAAAUACAGCUAAAGAACAACAACAGUCUCACCCAUCAAACUACAAAUUAACAUUCCUUAUUAGCUUUCACUUCCUUCAAAAGGAAAACAAAAGGAAGAAAAAUGAAAGACAUUGAGUGACGAAACAACCAAGUUAUGCAAAUAUAUUGUGACAGUAGAAAACGAAUUUUGCCUUAAGAUAUUAUAUAAUGACAUGUGCCAAGACUGAACACCUCAAAGCAAGAAUGUAGCGAAAUCAUUCGUAACACAUAAGAGAGACAAUCUGAUAAGCAAUGUCAAUU
RNAcentral lists this long non-coding RNA (993 nucleotides) under Populus trichocarpa (black cottonwood). Its description in RNAcentral is "long non-coding RNA (PTRI_LNC003444)". The record is from RNAcentral. Lineage: Eukaryota; Viridiplantae; Streptophyta; Magnoliopsida; Malpighiales; Salicaceae.